Molecule: ribosomal RNA, 694 nt
Filed under: Klebsiella sp. K-20
Lineage: Bacteria; Pseudomonadati; Pseudomonadota; Gammaproteobacteria; Enterobacterales; Enterobacteriaceae
Description: bacterial SSU rRNA
Rfam family: Bacterial small subunit ribosomal RNA
Source: RNAcentral
AGACCAAAGUGGGGGACCUUCGGGCCUCAUGCCAUCAGAUGUGCCCAGAUGGGAUUAGCUAGUAGGUGGGGUAACGGCUCACCUAGGCGACGAUCCCUAGCUGGUCUGAGAGGAUGACCAGCCACACUGGAACUGAGACACGGUCCAGACUCCUACGGGAGGCAGCAGUGGGGAAUAUUGCACAAUGGGCGCAAGCCUGGGAAUACCGGUGGCGAAGGCGGCCCCCUGGACAAAGACUGACGCUCAGGUGCGAAAGCGUGGGGAGCAAACAGGAUUAGAUACCCUGGUAGUCCACGCCGUAAACGAUGUCGAUUUGGAGGUUGUGCCCUUGAGGCGUGGCUUCCGGAGCUAACGCGUUAAAUCGACCGCCUGGGGAGUACGGCCGCAAGGUUAAAACUCAAAUGAAUUGACGGGGGCCCGCACAAGCGGUGGAGCAUGUGGUUUAAUUCGAUGCAACGCGAAGAACCUUACCUGGUCUUGACAUCCACAGAACUUUCCAGAGAUGCAUUGGUGCCUUCGGGAACUGUGAGACAGGUGCUGCAUGGCUGUCGUCAGCUCGUGUUGUGAAAUGUUGGGUUAAGUCCCGCAACGAGCGCAACCCUUAUCCUUUGUUGCCAGCGGUUCGGCCGGGAACUCAAAGGAGACUGCCAGUGAUAAACUGGAGGAAGGUGGGGAUGCGUAGAUCAGAAUGCUA